UAUUAAUAGAUUAAUAUAUAAUUAAUAUAUAUAAUAUUAAUUUUUUUAUAUUUCGACUUACCCCUAACAGAGUAUCAGACCUAGCUCUGCACAAAUCGAAUCGAUAUAUUACUUAUCGAGUACUAUAAAAAAAUGCGGAUAUAGUCGAAUGGUAAAAUUUCUCUUUGCCUAAGGAGAAGACGCGGGUUCGAUUCCCGCUAUCCGCCCCUACCUUUUUUAUUUUGUAUAUAUUUAAUUUAGAUAGUAAGUCUAUAAAAUUUGAUAGAGUUUACG
Lupinus albus (white lupine) is the source of this 273-nucleotide non-coding RNA. NCBI's taxonomy places the organism in Eukaryota, Viridiplantae, Streptophyta, Magnoliopsida, Fabales, Fabaceae. The record is from the annotation of a GenBank genome assembly.